AUGAGGCAAACACAAUUUUUUUCAGAUUUUCAUGCCAGUCCUACUGGGGCCCAUUAUGGGCAAACAAAAACAAGAGAAGCCAUUUCAAAGCGGUUCUACUGGCCAGGGAUGUCAGUGGACAUCAAUAAUUGGGUUUCCCAAUGUGCACUUUGCCAGGCAAGUGCUGCAACAAUUAAAAAACCAGCGGAAUACAUUCCGAUAAAGGUCUCUCAGCCAUUUGAACUGGUUGGGAUGGACCUUAUUGGAAAACUUACUGAAACCAACAAUGGACAUCAAUACAUAUGUGUUUUUAUUGAUUAUUUUACAAAAUGGCCACAAGCAUACCCUUUAAAGUCAAAAUCA
Molecule: long non-coding RNA, 342 nt
Organism: Oreochromis aureus
Lineage: Eukaryota; Metazoa; Chordata; Actinopteri; Cichliformes; Cichlidae
Exons: 3
Source: RefSeq, a predicted model, not a curated record